CGAAAAUUCAGAAGUGACGAUAUCAUCUGUUGAACGCAAACUGAGUAAAAUGGCCCAUACAUGAUACCAGCAAUUUUUAACAACUUAAACGGGAAAGAGAUCUGUCAUUGCAACAAUUUUAUCAAGAAAUUGUUAGAAAAAAAUGUUUCACAAG
Rhagoletis zephyria (snowberry fruit fly) is the source of this 154-nucleotide long non-coding RNA. RefSeq lists it as uncharacterized. Lineage: Eukaryota; Metazoa; Arthropoda; Insecta; Diptera; Tephritidae. The record is from RefSeq and is a predicted model, not a curated record.